Molecule: ribosomal RNA, 440 nt
Filed under: uncultured bacterium
Lineage: Bacteria
Description: partial 16S ribosomal RNA
Rfam family: Bacterial small subunit ribosomal RNA
Source: RNAcentral
CCUACGUGUGGCAGCAGUAGGGAAUAUUGCUCAAUGGGGGAAACCCUGAAGCAGCAACGCCGCGUGGGGGAUGAAGGUUUUCGGAAUGUAAAGCCCUAUUAUUAGAGAAGAAAAUGACGGUAUCUGACGAAGAAGCACCGGCUAACUACGUGCCAGCAGCCGCGGUAAUACGGAGGGGGCAAGCGUUACCCGGAUUCACUGGGCGUAAAGAGCGCGUAGGCGGGAGAGCAAGUCAGAAGUGAAAUGCUGUGGCUUAACCAUGGAACUGCAUUGGAAACUGUUCAGCUAGAGUGUGGGAGAGGUAGGUGGAAUUCUUGGUGUAGGGGUGAAAUGCGUAGAGAUUAAGAGGAAUACUAAUUGCGAAGGCGGCUUGCUGGAACAUAACUGACGCUGAGGCUCGAAAGCGUGGGGAGCAAACAGGAUUAGAUACCCCAGUAGUC